UCUCAAGUUAUAAGCCUUUGAAUCUCAGCAGGCGCUCUUGGAAAAAAAGGACCCAAGCAAAACGCACAGACUACCUUUAGAAAAACAAUUGUGAAAAAUCAAUUUUUUAGUCUUUUGACUUUAAAUUUUGAGUGUAGCAAGCUGAGACCUGUGGCUAUGGCCUAAUGUGUCUGCUGUGUCCAUAGACACACCUGAGCCCUUAUAUCUUAGUCAGUUUAUUGACAUUUGAAUUGGACGGAAACCAAAACCUGUUCCAACCUCUGUAACUCUGUGUCAGUAUGUCAUAGAAUCACACUUACACUUCGGAAAACACUUGAGCGUGUUACCUUUCCAAUGGUACCAAGCACAUCCCCGAGUCUCAAACUGUGUGGAGCUGUCAUGGUUUUAAUUUCAGUAUGUCGUAUGUCGAGGUUAAUGCUUGGUCCUGAUCAGAACCUGAGUGUGAGUGUUUGGUCCUGCAGUUGUUGAGUCGUGUCGCUCCUCCUCAGGUGAAACAUGGCCAUCACCUGGCUCGUCGUCGUCAUGGCGGUCGCCGUCUUCGUCUCCAUGGUGCUGCUGGCGGUGGUGUGUGUGCGCUGCAGGACCGACGGGCCUCUGGGUGAGACGCCGCCUCAACACAUGGUUAACAGCUGCUGAACUGACCUACAUGUUACUUCCUGUGGUUUGAACCAGUUCACAGCCACAGCUCAGCGCUGACGGUCAACCAGGACAACACUGAUUUAUUUUUACAUUUGAAUCAUUCAGACAAGAUGAAACUAACGUCUGGUUUGUUGUGUUCACAGUGUCCAUCAGACAGGCGACAGAGGAAUCCACUGAGUUCAGAGUCAUCCACCCAGCCCAGCCAACAAUCGGUCGUAACUCCGUCCAUCCUUCCUCCAACCUGCUGUCGCCUUACUCUCCUUCAGUCGAUCUCGGGACUCAGAGGAAACACAGAUCCUUCACCACAGAAACUGAGAGUAAUCCCAGCUAUGAGAAUCCAGCUGACGGUCCCGACUACAUAAACGAGAGCGACGGAGAUGAAUCCGGAUACAUAGUCGUGCUGCCUGAAGGUGACGCUCCCCCCGAUCAGAGCCGACCCUCCACGCCCAGCUCAGAUAAUCUACAUGAUUAUGAAAACAUCCCAACAAAGGAAGACGCAGCUUCCACCAACAAGUCGUCGGUCAGCCCGAGUCCGACCCGGCUGUCUGAGGACGGAGACGACGACGACCGAGAGUAUCUGAAUGUGGAACCGCUGCACUCUCAAAAUCCGUCGACUGACAGCGACACCGAGGACGAUGACGAGGGGAACUACGUCAACGUGAACAGCAGCGUCUGAAGGACGUCAGCCGCCUGCUUCCUCCUCCACCUUCCACUGCCGGCGGUGUUUAAUUCAAAGUGUUGAACUGAGAAAAGAAAGUGAUUUGUGUCCGAGGUGCUGAAGGUUCUGCUCAGGUCGGGUCUCAUGUCAUGAUCUUUAUUUUAAACCCAGCUGAGGAGACACUCAUCAUCUCUCACCAGUAAUUAUCUUCAGCUAUCUGUUUUAAUAAUGACGUCAACGACCUCCAACAGUCAGACGUCACUGAGCGUCGGUCCGGUCCGGUCCGGUCCGGUCCAGAACCGGUUUAUCUUUCUUUCUUUCUUCUCUACUUUGAUUUUCUCUCUUUCCUCCGACAGAACGACUCGUCUGUUCACUUCCAGCUUUACUUUCAUUUACUGACAACUCCUGAGAAUGUCUGAGCUCACAAAACGUUUGUUUUUCACAGUGUAUUUAUGUGUUGUUGUUGCCAUGGUUACUGUGUCUCUGGAUCUGUGUGAACUAGAAUUUUUUUUUAAAUAACUACAAUUAAACUUUAACAGAAAUGUGACGUCUCUGGUUUUCUCUGUUUCUGUCGUCGUCUGUUCGCGAGUUUGAAACCGAGCAGACGACUUUAAAUGAAUCCAAACACUUUGUUUAUUAUUAAUGAGUAAAAACUACAUUUGUGAAGAACAAAUUAUCAGGAGAAAUUUGUAUUUUUCAUAAUUUUUUAACAUCUGUGAAAUUUUUUAGGAUUUUUAUUUCAC
Molecule: long non-coding RNA, 2040 nt
Filed under: Sparus aurata (gilthead seabream)
Lineage: Eukaryota; Metazoa; Chordata; Actinopteri; Spariformes; Sparidae
Description: lncRNA (ENSSAUG00010012964.1)
Source: RNAcentral